UUUUCUUCACCGUACAGUUAUGCACUGCCAAUAAGUGAAAAGGUCAAGAAAAGCAGUAGCUCAAUGGUGGAAUUUUUCUGAAGUUCUUUACAGCAGGGAAAGUGGGGAAACCUCUUAAAGUGGUGUCUUAUUCAAUCCUGGAGCACAGGGAAAGAGUUUUAAUGCAAAAUACCAGAAAAAAAAGUCUGCAACAUCUCCUGUGAGAGGGGGGACAAAAGGAGAGUAACAAUUGCAUCUUGAAACACUCUUGAUUUGAGGUACAGUUUACUCUGUUCAAGUUGUAAACUCCAUGGAGCAGGUGUUUGUACAGUGCAUAGCACAGCAG
RNAcentral lists this long non-coding RNA (325 nucleotides) under Chloebia gouldiae (Gouldian finch). Its description in RNAcentral is "Erythrura gouldiae (Gouldian finch) lncRNA (ENSEGOG00005006852.1)". Lineage: Eukaryota; Metazoa; Chordata; Aves; Passeriformes; Passeridae. The record is from RNAcentral.